This 205-nucleotide ribosomal RNA is filed under the name uncultured bacterium. Its description in RNAcentral is "partial 16S ribosomal RNA". It matches the Rfam family "Bacterial small subunit ribosomal RNA", at positions 524 to 733 of the family's 1533-position model. The record is from RNAcentral.
UACGUAGGGUGCGAGCGUGUCCGGAAUUAUUGGGCGUAAAGGGCUCGUAGGCGGUCUGUCGCGUCGGGAGUGAAAAACUCAGGGCUUAACCCUGAGCCUGCUUCCGAUACGGGCAGACUAGAGGUAUGCAGGGGAGAACGAUUCCUGGUGAGCGGUGAAAUGCGCAGAUAUCAGGAGGAACACGGUGCGAAGGCGGUUCUCUGGG